UACGUAGGGCGCGAGCGUUGUCCGGAAUCAUUGGGCGUAAAGAGCUCGCAGGCGGCCUGUCGCGUCCGCUGUGAAAACCCGGGGCUCAACCCCGGGCUUGCAGUGGAUACGGGCUGGCUAGAGGCAGGCAGGGGAGAACGGAAUUCCCGGUGUAGCGGUGAAAUGCGCAGAUAUCGGGAGGAACACCGGUGGCGAAGGCCGUUCUCUGGGCCUGUACUGACGCUGAGGAGCGAAAGCGUGGGGAG
This 245-nucleotide ribosomal RNA is filed under the name uncultured bacterium. Its description in RNAcentral is "partial 16S ribosomal RNA". It matches the Rfam family "Bacterial small subunit ribosomal RNA", at positions 524 to 768 of the family's 1533-position model. The record is from RNAcentral.